CCUCUCACAUCCCUCUGUUUUUCUGAAAGACAUACACUGAAACCGUUUUUCAACAACAGGUGUGGCCAGAGCUGUUUGAGAGUUUGGUGGGACAGCAUUUGGAGAGGUGGGAGGGGAAGAACAUGGAGGCAGUCAUAAAUAGGUGGAAUUUUUGCUUUAUUCCUAUAAUUUGUGAGCGUUCCCGUAGGAGAAGGUAGUGUAUACCUAAUAUAAGUAUUAACCAAGAAAGUUCACAACUGGAGCAAGGAAAAAGAAUGCGCUAGCAAGGAUGUUAGAACUUGAUAUCCUGGCUUACCAAUGGGUUCCUUUAAACUCUUCUACUGCCUCAGGAUGGCUAACACAUAUCUACGCAUUGCAGCCAGCAGUAUUUUGCUGUGUGAUACAAAGACAUGUUCUGUAACAAGAUGAAUCUUAAAUGGUGGGAUGGAGAGGCUUGGUGUGUGAAGUAACUAAUGAAUUGCAGAACCCGUGGCUUGAUGGCCAUUGGUUCAAAUCUCACCCCCUUGGUAACAGCCAAACUCCCUGAGACAGACUUUCCCCUGUUCUUAGGCAUCCUUCGCAGUCAGCCAUGGCCUUCUAUCCACUUCCACAACACCCAGUACAAAUAACACCUCUCUGUCUGGAAGCUUGCCGGAGAUGGAUUGGUGCUAUGCUAACAGCAGCAAAUUUCUCAGCACUGACAACGUGCACCGAUGCUGAUAAAUGGGAGCAGCACUGUGUAGUGAAGGAUUCCCCAUGGGCAUUUCCCUUCACUCAUCCAUUCAUAAAGGGCCAGACGUGACACAUCUACUCUUGAGGACUGCCUUGCUUGUAAGUUUGUUGAAAAUAUUUGAGAGCAUACCUUUAAUCGCUGACAGCAGCCAGGUGCUGGGAAGGCUUUUGUUUAUUUCCAUUCUGUAAGAGGGGAUAUUUGUUAUUGUUUUCUGUGAAGAAAAUGUAUUUUCAGAAAGUAUUCUGACCACUCCAACAGUAUCUUUAUAGGACAGCCAAAGGCAGUGGACUGUUUGCAGGUUCAGCAGGUGAAAUCAAUUUCACAAGCAACAGAAUCAGAGUCAUAUUUCCAUGACUGCUCACAGGAUUCCUGGAGGUGCUGUACGUGGAUGCUGAUGGCUUCUGCAGCCUCUACGAGGUAAGUGUCUCACAUGCAGCUCUGCAAACAUAAUGUGACCCCAGCACACUGGGUUUAAUGUGACUGUCUUAUUGCACACACAGGCUGAGAUUCUGGGUGAGCUAUGUGCCUGAGAAACACAGGUGCUCUGGGACUGCACAAAAGCCUGGUAAGCUUAGUGUUGGAUUUAAGAGCAAAGGAGAGAUUCAUGUGCACGUACUUCAUAGCUAUUUACUGCAUGCUCAGCUGUCCAGGCUGCUGAAGUCCAGAAAAAUUGUUGCUGCUAUCAAAACACAGGAAAAGCCAAGAAUUUCAUGAGAUGAGAUCCAAUCGUACAUAUAUAGGAAAUCCUUAUUAUAUGGCACAAUUCUCAAACUUCACACUGCUCUUGGCAGUAUUUUCACACAGGAGUUAAGAACUUGAGUAACACUAGAUAGCUGAAAAAGUCAAGAGAGGAAAAUAGUAACUGCAUGGUCUCACCUUCACCCUGGCCACAAUUUUUGCUUUGCUUGCUUGCUCCUUGGUUGCAUGAGAAUUGCUUCUUGUCACCACUAAAUGAAAAUGGACUGGAUGGAGGAAGUUGUUUAGCAGAGAAGAGAUCCGGGAGAAGGCAUAAAGAAAGGUGGUGAGAGUACCUUGUUAGCAGCUAGCAUUUGUGAUCAAGCAGCCAAAGAUAUUUUCAGCUCAGUGCGGGAGAGGCCGCAGCUGUGCAAUGUGUGGAAUGUGACCUGUUGGGAAGGUGUGGACAGAGAAGCAGAUCAGGGUGGAAAGGGGGAAAGGGAGCAGGUGGCAGAGCAGAACUGGAUUUUUCUUCAUCCUCUGAAGGAGCUGUUGCCAAGGACAAAGCCAUAAGCAACCAGAUUUAAAAAAAAAAUUACUCUUCUCUGAGUGUUUCCUGGUUGAUAACCUCAUUGUUUAACAUCAGGGUGAUGGAGAACUUUAGAGAUGAUGAUCCAGGCCUGGACACAGGCUGACACACACUCUUGGUGUGUAUGACAAUCUAUGUCCCUAGAGGAAACUGCAGGAUUCUGUGUUAGAGUAUGUGGAGUUUCCUUUCACUUAGUACCAACCUUCCUAUGAUUUAGCUGUGUUUCUUGCUGUAUCAGACCAAAACAUAAAGUCAAACUGUACAUUAUAUCAAUCAGCUGGUCCAUGAAUGAGGUGAAAAUUCCUCAGGUUGUCACAGAACUAUAUUUUGGUUAACAGCUAUCCUAGGUAGCAUGUCUCCCUUCUUGUUGAUAUAUGCUUGCACAGUUGCCCAGCAGGAUGAUGACAAUGCUGAUCCUGACGAAAACACUCCAUGCAGAUGCGAUAUAAAAACUUUGUCAAGAUAAGUGUUGAGAAGUUCCUUAUUUGCUCUGGAAUCUGGACUGCAUCAAACAUAUGAGUCAAAAGUAUCUGCAGUGACUCAGAGCCCAAGAACUGUGACAGAAGAUGAAAUUCAUUCCUAUUUGCACCAUUCAUUUUUGUGAUAAAUGGCAAGUGUUUUGAACAUCUCCUCCAGGAUUUAGCGGGAUUUUUUCCUACCCAGAUCUCUUAUUCAUGAAGGACUGAUUUGUGAUAUUAUAUAACAAAUGAGUGACAUAUACACCUCAACACUGAAUGGAUCCACUGUUAUGGCCCUCGUACACAUGUGCAAUAUCUCAUCUGAAGCCACAUAAACUCCCGAGUUUUUGGCUUAGGACAGUAAUAACUACUUCUGUGAUUAAGACAGUCUGCAGUAUCUAUUGCAUAUAGAUUCUUCAUUGCUUUCAAAUGCCUCCCAAAAAACCAUAAAAGCUGUUUUUGUUCCACCCUUGGUUAUUAAGAUAGUUCUACCCACUAUUAGGUGUGCUUCUAGUCAUCUUGAUCAAAAUUCCUAAGCCAGUUUCCAUAAUUUGCCCCACGUAAGUGGGAAACUGAGGUUCUGGAUGUGGGUAUGCUCCAUGGCACCACAUGGUGAAUCUGCAGUGGAAUUCACUGCUCAGCAACAAAGGCUAAUCAAAAGCAUUUUCCUAAGUGCAUCAAUCAGUUUCAUUGGAUCCUAUUAAAUACUAGACCAAAAAUAAAAGCUUUGGUCUAUAGCUUCA
This 3177-nucleotide long non-coding RNA is filed under the name Coturnix japonica (Japanese quail). Its description in RNAcentral is "lncRNA (ENSCJPG00005016179.1)". The record is from RNAcentral. Lineage: Eukaryota; Metazoa; Chordata; Aves; Galliformes; Phasianidae.